AUGGAGCUGAUGGUUGCUCAAUACUACAUCUUUGUUAUAAUGUUAACCAAAGGUGUCAGCAGUGAUGAGAUCAGACUGGACCAGUCUCCUGUUGUGGUAAAGAGACCUGGAGAAACUGUGAAGAUCUCUUGUAGGAUACAUGGCUUUGAUGUGACUGAGUACUACAUGCACUGGAUACGACAGAAACCAGGGAAAGCUCUGGAAUGGGUUGGAUAUGUGAACUCUGGUACAACAGAUGAACCCCCAUAUGCAGACUCCAUGAAAAGGCAUUUUCUCCUCUCUGAAGAUGUCUCAGAAAGCACACAGUACAUAGAGGCCAAGAGUCUGAGGACAGAGGACACUGGGGUUUAUUACUGCGCUUAUUACUACAGCUGUACUAAAACCAGACACACAUUGUAA
This is a non-coding RNA of Hemibagrus wyckioides, 399 nucleotides long. The record is from the annotation of a RefSeq genome assembly. Lineage: Eukaryota; Metazoa; Chordata; Actinopteri; Siluriformes; Bagridae.